AGUCGAGUAAGCUAAAUCAAGCUCUUGGGCCCAUACCCCAAACAUGUAGGUUAAACCCCUUCCUUUACUA
This 70-nucleotide transfer RNA is filed under the name Inegocia japonica (rusty flathead). Its description in RNAcentral is "tRNA-Met". The record is from RNAcentral. Lineage: Eukaryota; Metazoa; Chordata; Actinopteri; Perciformes; Platycephalidae.